This 496-nucleotide ribosomal RNA is filed under the name uncultured bacterium. Its description in RNAcentral is "partial 16S ribosomal RNA". It matches the Rfam family "Bacterial small subunit ribosomal RNA", at positions 28 to 507 of the family's 1533-position model. The record is from RNAcentral.
GAUGAACGCUGGCGGCGUGCCUAAUACAUGCAAGUCGAGCGAACAGACGAGGAGCUUGCUCCUCUGACGUUAGCGGCGGACGGGUGAGUAACACGUGGAUAACCUACCUAUAAGACUGGGAUAACUUCGGGAAACCGGAGCUAAUACCGGAUAAUAUAUUGAACCGCAUGGUUCAAUAGUGAAAGACGGUUUUGCUGUCACUUAUAGAUGGAUCCGCGCCGCAUUAGCUAGUUGGUAAGGUAACGGCUUACCAAGGCAACGAUGCGUAGCCGACCUGAGAGGGUGAUCGGCCACACUGGAACUGAGACACGGUCCAGACUCCUACGGGAGGCAGCAGUAGGGAAUCUUCCGCAAUGGGCGAAAGCUUGACGGAGCAACGCCGCGUGAGUGAUGAAGGUCUUCGGAUCGUAAAACGCUGUUUUAGGGAAGAACAAAUGUGUAAGUAACUAUGCACGUCUUGACGGUACCUAAUCAGAAAGCCACGGCUAACUACGUG